Molecule: small nucleolar RNA, 93 nt
Organism: Lasius niger
Lineage: Eukaryota; Metazoa; Arthropoda; Insecta; Hymenoptera; Formicidae
Source: Rfam
CAUUAAUGAUGCUAUUGCCAUGCUAAUACUGAGAAAUCAUAUAUUUGGAUUUCGCUGAGUUGAACUCUUAAAAUUACUGAAUUCUCUAUAUGA